Molecule: long non-coding RNA, 581 nt
Filed under: Phoenix dactylifera (date palm)
Lineage: Eukaryota; Viridiplantae; Streptophyta; Magnoliopsida; Arecales; Arecaceae
Description: long non-coding RNA (PDAC_LNC020768)
Source: RNAcentral
GAAAAGGAAAGAUCGAUUAACAUCCAAAAAUUGUGGCUUUAAAAGGAUUAUGAAAUUCACCUUCCUUACAUUUUGUCCAUCAACCUCAAUUUGACUUUAAAUUACAUGCACAUUAUCUCAUAUGUAGGAAGCGAGGAUACUCAGGUUGAUUUCAGCUUCUCGUUUUUCUUCGGAAAAAAAAUCUAACUAUUAUAUGGGAAAUUUGUAUUGCUGAAGGUUGGAGGAACUGUGCUCUCUUGUUUCGAUCUACCACGCCCGUUCUCUCCAUGCCUCCACCUAUAUCCUAUGCAGUGCUCAAUCUCCUGAAUACUUAUUUCCUUAAACACCAAAAUUGAAACAUGAGAUCACCUUCCACUUCUUUUCUCAUCUCGAUUACCCCCAUCUGUUACAAGGCUGUGACUGACACUGGAUAAGUUCCAUGAUAGAUCAGCAGCACCCACAUGUGGCUAUUUCAGAUGCAUGAAUUUUCUAAAUCUUCCUAUGAUGGUGUACCUUAAGGUGGGUGGAGGUGAAUGACAUGGGAACGUGGGUAGGAGGCCUGUGGUGGCUAUGGGUUCUUACUCUUUCUCUUGACCCUCUUC